RNAcentral lists this ribosomal RNA (440 nucleotides) under uncultured bacterium. RNAcentral's name for it is "partial 16S ribosomal RNA". It matches the Rfam family "Bacterial small subunit ribosomal RNA", at positions 338 to 795 of the family's 1533-position model. The record is from RNAcentral.
CCUACGGGUGGCAGCAGUGGGGAAUAUUGCACAAUGGGGGAAACCCUGAUGCAGCGACGCCGCGUGAGUGAAGAAGUAUCUCGGUACGUAAAGCUCUAUCAGCAGGGAAGAAAAUGACGGUACCUGACUAAGAAGCCCCGGCUAACUACGAGACAGCAGCCGCGGUAAUACGUAGGGGGCAAGCGUUAUCCGGAUUUACUGGGUGUAAAGGGAGCGUAGUCGGCAGCAUAAGUCUGGAGUGAAAUCCCGGGGCUUAACCCCGGAACUGCUUUGGAAACCGUGCGGCUGGAGUGCAGGAGGGGUAAGCGGAAUGCGUAGUGUAGCGGUGAAAUGCGUAGAUAUUAGGAGGAACACCGGUGGCGAAGGCGGCUUACUGGACUGUAACUGACGUUGAGGCUCGAAAGCGUGGGGAGCAAACAGGAUUAGAUACCCUUGUAGUC